RNAcentral lists this ribosomal RNA (162 nucleotides) under Cyanothamnus quadrangulus. Its description in RNAcentral is "5.8S ribosomal RNA". It matches the Rfam family "5.8S ribosomal RNA". From Rfam's summary of the family: 5.8S ribosomal RNA (5.8S rRNA) is a component of the large subunit of the eukaryotic ribosome. It is transcribed by RNA polymerase I as part of the 45S precursor that also contains 18S and 28S rRNA. Functionally, it is thought that 5.8S rRNA may be involved in ribosome translocation. The record is from RNAcentral. Lineage: Eukaryota; Viridiplantae; Streptophyta; Magnoliopsida; Sapindales; Rutaceae.
CAACGACUCUCGGCAACGGAUAUCUCGGCUCUCGCAUCGAUGAAGAACGUAGCGAAAUGCGAUACUUGGUGUGAAUUGCAGAAUCCCGUGAACCAUCGAGUCUUUGAACGCAAGUUGCGCCCCAAGCUGUUAGGCUGAGGGCACGUCUGCCUGGGUGUCACG